This 497-nucleotide ribosomal RNA is filed under the name uncultured bacterium. RNAcentral describes it as "partial 16S ribosomal RNA". It matches the Rfam family "Bacterial small subunit ribosomal RNA", at positions 28 to 507 of the family's 1533-position model. The record is from RNAcentral.
GAUGAACGCUGGCGGCGUGCCUAAUACAUGCCAGUCGAGCGAACGGACGAGAAGCUUGCUUCUCUGAUGUUAGCGGCGGACGGGUGAGUAACACGUGGAUAACCUACCUAUAAGACUGGGAUAACUUCGGGAAACCGGAGCUAAUACCGGAUAAUAUUUUGAACCGCAUGGUUCAAAAGUGAAAGACGGUCUUGCUGUCACUUAUAGAUGGAUCCGCGCUGCAUUAGCUAGUUGGUAAGGUAACGGCUUACCAAGGCAACGAUGCAUAGCCGACCUGAGAGGGUGAUCGGCCACACUGGAACUGAGACACGGUCCAGACUCCUACGGGAGGCAGCAGUAGGGAAUCUUCCGCAAUGGGCGAAAGCCUGACGGAACAACGCCGCGUGAGUGAUGAAGGUCUUCGGAUCGUAAAACUCUGUUAUUAGGGAAGAACAUAUGUGUAAGUAACUGUGCACAUCUUGACGGUACCUAAUCAGAAAGCCACGGCUAACUACGUG